AAUACCCAUUAUGUUUCCUACAUAUUUUCUGAGGAAGUUUCAUGUUUGACUGAAAUGCACAGAAGUACAGGUAGAAUUAACUGCUUCAGUUUCACAGAGCAAGGAAACUAUUAUAAUAAAGGACAGCUCUAAGACACUAGUAUAUUUCUCACAGUUGCAUUAAUUGUUAUAAGAAGAAAGACUGAGAAAUCUCUCCUAAAACCUUGUGAACAAAGUUCAUAUAAUCAAAACUAGGA
Molecule: long non-coding RNA, 236 nt
Organism: Nothoprocta perdicaria
Lineage: Eukaryota; Metazoa; Chordata; Aves; Tinamiformes; Tinamidae
Exons: 2
Source: RefSeq, a predicted model, not a curated record